Molecule: ribosomal RNA, 301 nt
Filed under: uncultured bacterium
Lineage: Bacteria
Description: partial 16S ribosomal RNA
Rfam family: Bacterial small subunit ribosomal RNA
Source: RNAcentral
CAGCCGCCACGGGAAUACGAAGGGUGCAAGCGUUAAUCGGAAUUACUGGGCGUAAAGCGUGCGUAGGCGGUGAGUUAAGUCUGCUGUGAAAUCCCCGGGCUCAACCUGGGAAUGGCAGUGGAUACUGGCUAGCUAGAGUGUGUUAGAGGAUGGUGGAAUUCCCGGUGUAGCAGUGAAAUGCGUAGAGAUCGGGAGGAACAUCAGUGGCGAAGGCGACCAUCUGGGACAACACUGACGCUGAGGCACGAAAGCGUGGGGAGCAAACAGGAUUAGAUACCCCGGUAGUCCCUGUCUCUUAUAA